RNAcentral lists this ribosomal RNA (492 nucleotides) under uncultured bacterium. RNAcentral's name for it is "partial 16S ribosomal RNA". It matches the Rfam family "Bacterial small subunit ribosomal RNA", at positions 29 to 507 of the family's 1533-position model. The record is from RNAcentral.
AGCGAACGCUGGCGGUAGGCCUAACACAUGCAAGUCGAACGGCAGCACAGUAAGAGCUUGCUCUUACGGGUGGCGAGUGGCGGACGGGUGAGGAAUACAUCGGAAUCUACUUUUUCGUGGGGGAUAACGUAGGGAAACUUACGCUAAUACCGCAUACGACCUACGGGUGAAAGCAGGGGAUCUUCGGACCUUGCGCGAUUGAAUGAGCCGAUGUCGGAUUAGCUAGUUGGCGGGGUAAAGGCCCACCAAGGCGACGAUCCGUAGCUGGUCUGAGAGGAUGAUCAGCCACACUGGAACUGAGACACGGUCCAGACUCCUACGGGAGGCAGCAGUGGGGAAUAUUGGACAAUGGGCGCAAGCCUGAUCCAGCCAUACCGCGUGGGUGAAGAAGGCCUUCGGGUUGUAAAGCCCUUUUGUUGGGAAAGGAAAGCAGCAGGUUAAUACCCCGCUGUUCUGACGGUACCCAAAGAAUAAGCACCGGCUAACUUCGUG